CCCGCAGCCUCGCGCAUGCGCGUAGCUCCCUGGGCGCUUCGAAGAUCCAGCGGCUUGCCGUGAGUCCGGGAGGCAAAAUUGUACCCAUUUCAAAGAUGUGAUGACUAAAGUCUCGAGAGGGCCAAGGCUCGCCCAAGGUUGCUCUGUGGUGACAGCUUUACCUCCUUGCUAUGUAUUCUCAGAUAUUGCAAACGGACGAGAGAAAAGUCGAGAAUGAAUCCUGGAGAAAACAAGGUCGUUCGACGAUUUCGACACGUCGCAUCCCUGAGAGUCUCUCGUGUCCUGAUCAACUCGAGAACUGGAGGCAGUGACAUUUUAGAUGCUGCAGUGAAAGCCACAGAGCCACGGAAGGCCGAGACUCUACCAUGUUUGUGAUCUUCACAUUCAGCAAACUCACUCGCACUCUGCCUCAUCUUAUCUCUAGAAUGUAUUUUACCACACUGUGUCCCUUCUUUAGUGGGAAUGUCUUUGGCCAAAAAUAAUGAAUAGUUCUGACCUGACUUGCUAAUACCCAGUGAUAAAAGGAUGGAAUUUGUUGGGAAUAAAAGAAAACUAACCUUACAAA
This is a long non-coding RNA of Pan troglodytes (chimpanzee), 565 nucleotides long. RefSeq lists it as uncharacterized. NCBI's taxonomy places the organism in Eukaryota, Metazoa, Chordata, Mammalia, Primates, Hominidae. The record is from RefSeq and is a predicted model, not a curated record. The transcript has 2 exons.